Dalotia coriaria is the source of this 774-nucleotide long non-coding RNA. RefSeq lists it as uncharacterized. The record is from RefSeq and is a predicted model, not a curated record. Lineage: Eukaryota; Metazoa; Arthropoda; Insecta; Coleoptera; Staphylinidae. The transcript has 2 exons.
ACUAACUGUUAAAUAACUUAGUUGCAUUGUUUCGUUACAAGUUUAACCUCGAUUUUUUUUUCUAUUUCUAAACUGACCACAACCAGCAUUCUUGUUUGGAUGGUUCAUAAUUGCGAGUGUAAUUUGUUUGGAAUUUACCAGAUGCACGCAUAUAUGGAGAAAAAGUGUAUAAUUUCGAACGACUUUAUCGAUUGUUACUAUCUUCGACGCUGUGGCGAGUACGUUUUGUGUAAAUCGAAGCAACAGAAGUCGGCACGUACGCAUUACGAACUACUCUCUCGCCGUGUAGUGAAUGAAGCAACAGUCUCUACAAGUCCUCAAGCAUUGAUGCACAGCGAACAAAAAGGCGAAGAUGGAAGAAAAAACGAGCGGCGCGCACAGCGAGAAGAAUGAAACCGAAAGAAACACGUGUGCGAGUGGUGCGCUGGCCGGCGCCGUUGAAUUAUGUUUACGUACGAUAUAAUUAUGAAAUAUUAUGGAAUAUGUUAAUGAAAAAAAAUUAAGUUUCAUCGAAUAUAAUUGCUAAUGAGUGUUCUGGACGCCGAUGCGAAGAGGUUCAAGUUCGAGGAACGCAUUCGAGGGCAAAGACGCUUUAAUGUCGAACCGUUACGUCAAUCAGUUUGGAGUUGGAUGAGAAAAAAUGCACGGGAGCAAUUUAUAAACAGAAUCAAUAUAAUUAUAUUUAAUUUUUAAUUCAAUCAUCAAUUCUGGGUUAUAAAUAGAAAUAUAUACUGUAAUUUUACAAGAAAAUAAUAAAUUACAAGUAAAAAAUUA